CCGUGAUAAUGUAGCAUAAUCACUCGCCAUUUAAUUGAUGGAUAGUAUGAAUGGUUUAACGAAUAUAACACUGUCUCCGACAAAAUAUUUAUAAAAUUGGAAUAAUAGUAAAGAUACUAUUUAAAACUAUAAGACGAAAAGACCCUAUAGAGCUUAACUAUAAACUUUUAUUAUCCUUUUAAGUUUACUUAAAUUCACUAAAAGUUUGGUAGUUUAGUUGGGGCGACUGUCUUUUAAAAUAAACAAAGACAAGCAAUAUUAAUUAAAAAAAAAUUUACUGUAUAAGUAAUAUAUUUAACAGUUACUACGGUAGGCAAUAAUGACCCGUUUUUAUAAAGAAACAUAAAAAACGAUCAAUAAAUAAAAGCUACCUUAGGGAUAACAGGAUAAUUUCGUUUUAGAGUUCUUAUCGAAGACGAA
RNAcentral lists this ribosomal RNA (420 nucleotides) under Cladonema pacificum. Its description in RNAcentral is "partial 16S ribosomal RNA". It matches the Rfam family "Bacterial large subunit ribosomal RNA", at positions 1946 to 2515 of the family's 2925-position model. The record is from RNAcentral. Lineage: Eukaryota; Metazoa; Cnidaria; Hydrozoa; Anthoathecata; Cladonematidae.